GUUUCUGGCCCCAGAAGCCUGGUUCUUGGCCUAGUUGUAAGGCUUUGAGACUUUGUCUAGAUUUGUAGGCCUCAAAGCCUCGUUCCCGGCCUAGUUCAAGGGGCUUUGAGCCUGUGUCUUGAGUUUCUGGCCUCAGAAGCCUGGUUCUUGGCCUAGUUGUUAGGCCCGGAGCCUGGGCCUGGAUUAG
Amblyraja radiata (thorny skate) is the source of this 187-nucleotide long non-coding RNA. RefSeq lists it as uncharacterized. The record is from RefSeq and is a predicted model, not a curated record. The transcript is spliced from 3 exons. NCBI's taxonomy places the organism in Eukaryota, Metazoa, Chordata, Chondrichthyes, Rajiformes, Rajidae.